GACGAACGCUGGCGGCGUGCUUAACACAUGCAAGUCGAACGGAAAGGCCCUGCUUUUGUGGGGUGCUCGAGUGGCGAACGGGUGAGUAACACGUGAGUAACCUGCCCUUGACUUUGGGAUAACUUCAGGAAACUGGGGCUAAUACCGGAUAGGAGCUCCUGCUGCAUGGUGGGGGUUGGAAAGUUUCGGCGGUUGGGGAUGGACUCGCGGCUUAUCAGCUUGUUGGUGGGGUAGUGGCUUACCAAGGCUUUGACGGGUAGCCGGCCUGAGAGGGUGACAGGCCACAUUGGGACUGAGAUACGGCCCAGACUCCUACGGGAGGCAGCAGUGGGGAAUAUUGCACUAUGGGCGGAAGCCUGAUGCAGCAACGCCGCGUGCGGGAUGACGGCCUUCGGGUUGUAAACCGCUUUCGCCUGUGACGAAGCGUGAGUGACGGUAAUGGGUAAAGAAGCACCGGCUAACUACGUG
Molecule: ribosomal RNA, 468 nt
Filed under: uncultured bacterium
Lineage: Bacteria
Description: partial 16S ribosomal RNA
Rfam family: Bacterial small subunit ribosomal RNA
Source: RNAcentral